CACAUCUCUCAGCAACACUCUGAGUUUGUCAAGCGGUACAGUGAGCUGUCAUUCCACUACUGGGAAUUGUCACCAGAUGGCCAUCUGCUUUGAGAAGCCCUGUCAACAUGUUGAUUGAGGGCAGCUCCAUGGCUACUCAACAGCAGAACACAAAACAGGGGAAACCUUGGGUGAGCUUCUGAACACAUGAGAAGCUGAAACCCAGAUGGGAAGCUGACUUGCCUUGGAUUCUGAAACUUGACUUGCCUAGCGCAUAUAUUUUACAGAUAAGGAAACAGACCUCCACAGAGCCCAGAGUUAACACAGGUGUUAAUGUAGAACUGGGGUGACAGUUCCUGUCCUCUGGCUCCUGGAUCCAGCUGCUUCCUACCACACAGCACUGCACUCUCCAUUGCUCUGCACGAAUAUCCGCUUCACCCCUCUGUGUCCUACUCUUCCUUGGAAAACACAGGGGUCCCUAGCUUCAGUGCUUACUGUGACCAUUGAGGUUACCUGAGUCGGUGGGCUAAGUGGAGGAUGACAGAUACUGCUGGGGACUGUGGCAAAGCAGAGAGCACAGUCCCGCCUGUCACAGAAGGCUCUGGGUCCUCACUGCAGGAGCAUGGGCCCAGGAUGGUGACAGCUUCCAGUUUGUCAAGAAAACCCAGAAAUCUCAAUCCUUACUUGAAAUUUCUCAGGCAGGGUAUGUCUUAGAAAACUUGCAUACAGGUGGACUUUUGCCAGCUACCUGCCAGAUUGUGACCUCCACUUAAGUGCAUGUUUCUCAUCUCCCUGACAGCAGCAGCUGCAAGAACAGGCCCUGUGGCUUAACACAUGCAAGGCACCAUUUAUGCAUUAUCUCUUCUAAUCUUCUCAACAACCCAGGGAAGUACUGACGAUAAGGAAACUGAGGCUCUGCCAGUCUGAAGUAAUUUGUCAAAGUUCAACAGCUAAAUCCUGGGCUAGGGCUGAAACCUAAACCUUUCUGAUUGGCAAUUUUUAAUCUCAUCCUCACAAUCUUUGGCCUCCCUGAUGGUUCAGCCAUUACUGGAUUGAAUUAAAGCUACUGGUGAAUCUGUACAGUUUUCCAAAUUCCAUUUCAGUUCAGCUUUUCAAACACAUUCUGAAUUACCACUGUGUAAAAAAGCAUGUGUACCCUAAAGGUGAAGGAUUACACUGUACAAAGCAUGGUAUUUGGCCUGGUGAACAAGCCAGGCAUGGAAACUAAUCAUUAUUUUAAACAUGGACCACGCUAAGUUCUAGAUUUGAAUCAUCUCUCUGGUGUAAUAAAUUUCUGACUGCUUAUUCAGUUGGCUCGUAUCUAGGUUGACAUAUACUUCUCCUCAUUUGUCUUCUGAAAAAAAUCAAUAAAUUAUUUGUAUACGUUUAACAGAGGUGAAAUUGAGGCUUUUAAAAACCUUAUUAGGGGGUGAUACUUCUGACAUUUAUCCUAAAGGUAACAAUGUUUCAAUUUGAUUUAUUGUGUAUUUGGAAUUAGAACUCUGACUCUAAGUGUACAUUUGAUCUUUUAUUGUACAUUAUUUU
Artibeus jamaicensis (Jamaican fruit-eating bat) is the source of this 1524-nucleotide long non-coding RNA. RefSeq lists it as uncharacterized. NCBI's taxonomy places the organism in Eukaryota, Metazoa, Chordata, Mammalia, Chiroptera, Phyllostomidae. The transcript is spliced from 3 exons. The record is from RefSeq and is a predicted model, not a curated record.